This 253-nucleotide ribosomal RNA is filed under the name uncultured bacterium. Its description in RNAcentral is "partial 16S ribosomal RNA". It matches the Rfam family "Bacterial small subunit ribosomal RNA", at positions 524 to 776 of the family's 1533-position model. The record is from RNAcentral.
UACGUAGGGUGCAGGCGUUAAUCGGAAUUACUGGGCGUAAAGCGCACGUAGGCGGCUCUUUAAGUCGGGGGUGAAAUCCUGGAGCUCAACUCCAGAACUGCCUUCGAUACUGAAGAGCUUGAGUCCGGGAGAGGUGAGUGGAACUGUGAGUGUAGAGGUGAAAUUCGUAGAUAUUCGCAAGAACACCAGUGGCGAAGGCGGCUCACUGGCCCGGUACUGACGCUGAGGUGCGAAAGCGUGGGGAGCAAACGGG